UCUGGCAGCAUCUUUAGACAGAUGAGGAAGCCGGAGCCAUUAGGUCAUAGGCCACGCCCACUGGAUACAAACGCAGCGCGGGAGUCAGAUGAGGUCAGGAACAUAUGGCCGUCCCGUUGCUAGAACACGGCAGCGCCAAACAUUUCACUGCUUCCUCAACUUGGGCCAAUACAGAGCUGGACUUGCUCAACGUCUGAAAAUCAAGUCUGGAUCAGUACCAACUCUCCUCGGCUCAGCUACAAACCUCGAAAAAACCCCCGACACCAUUUCAAUCAAGGUUGAAGAGGAUAUUGGUGGAGGCUUGCCCGCCGUAGAAGACUGCGAUGCCUUUGUGCCUUAGUGUCCGACCAGAGGGAAAAACACAUUGGACCAUGUUUACACUAACAUUAAACAUGCUUACAGAGCCAUACCACUACCUCACUUAGGCCAGUCAGACCACCUCUCUCUGCUCCUUACCCCUGCAUACACCCCUCUCAGGAGAAGUGCACCACUACAGACCAAAACCAUCACCACGUGGCCUCAGGAUGCACUUUCCCAACUACAAGACUGUUUCCUACACACCGAGUGGGAUGUUUUUAAACACCAGGACCUGGCUGUCCACACAGAAUCUGUACUUUCCUACAUCAAGUACUGCGUGGGAAACGUCACAGUGGACAAACACAUUUGUGUGUUCCCCAAUCAGAAGCCCUGGAUGACCAGCCAGGUCCGGACGCUCCUCAAGGUCCGCAACGCCGCCUUCAGGUCUGGAGACAGAGAGCAGUACAGCGCUGCUAGAGCCGACCUGAGGAGGGGAAUUAAGAAGGCAAAGGCGGACUACAGGAGGAAAAUAGAGGACCACCUCUCUGAAAACAACCCACGGCAGGUGUGGCAAGGCAUUCAACAGUUGACAAACUACAGGGGACACAACACCACAACUGUGAACUCAAGUAUCUCGCUGGCAGAAGAACUGAACUUCUUCUUUGCCCGCUUCGAGACAUCAAGGACAUCACAGACCUCAGCUUCAUCACCACCCCAGCCCCCACCAGCUCACAGCACCCACUCACUGACUGUACAGGUGCAGGAUGUGAGACGUGUGCUUAGUGGAGUCAACCCCAGGAAAGCUGCAGGA
Gadus morhua (Atlantic cod) is the source of this 1108-nucleotide long non-coding RNA. RefSeq lists it as uncharacterized. The record is from RefSeq and is a predicted model, not a curated record. The transcript is spliced from 3 exons. Lineage: Eukaryota; Metazoa; Chordata; Actinopteri; Gadiformes; Gadidae.